RNAcentral lists this ribosomal RNA (538 nucleotides) under fungal sp. 263c1a. Its description in RNAcentral is "eukaryotic LSU rRNA". The stretch from base 177 to 330 matches the Rfam family "5.8S ribosomal RNA". Lineage: Eukaryota; Fungi. The record is from RNAcentral.
AACAAGGUUUCCGUAGGUGAACCUGCGGAAGGAUCAUUACCGAGUUUUCGGGCUUCGGCUCGACUCUCCCACCCUUUGUGAACGUACCUCUGUUGCUUUGGCGGCUCCGGCCGCCAAAGGACCUCCAAACUCCAGUCAGUAAACGCAGACGUCUGAUAAACAAGUUAAUAAACUAAAACUUUCAACAACGGAUCUCUUGGUUCUGGCAUCGAUGAAGAACGCAGCGAAAUGCGAUAAGUAAUGUGAAUUGCAGAAUUCAGUGAAUCAUCGAAUCUUUGAACGCACAUUGCGCCCCUUGGUAUUCCGGGGGGCAUGCCUGUUCGAGCGUCAUUACAACCCUCAAGCUCUGCUUGGAAUUGGGCACCGUCCUCACUGCGGACGCGCCUCAAAGACCUCGGCGGUGGCUGUUCAGCCCUCAAGCGUAGUAGAAUACACCUCGCUUUGGAGUGGUUGGCGUCGCCCGCCGGACGAACCUUCUGAACUUUUCUCAAGGUUGACCUCGGAUCAGGUAGGGAUACCCGCUGAACUUAAGCAUAUC